This is a long non-coding RNA of Capsicum annuum, 3785 nucleotides long. RefSeq lists it as uncharacterized. Lineage: Eukaryota; Viridiplantae; Streptophyta; Magnoliopsida; Solanales; Solanaceae. The record is from RefSeq and is a predicted model, not a curated record. The transcript has 2 exons.
AAAAUUGCCUCCUUAGCAAGGAAAUUAGGUGAGAGAUCUGGCAUAGUUAUCCAAGUUACCCUAAUUGUACGCAUCCGGCUCAAACCACAAAUCACACUUCAAUGUUCUCAUUUGCCAAUACAUCUCCUUAGCCUUGAUAUAAUAUGCAGUAGUGGACAGUAGGUUAACAUAGUCUUCUAGUCCUUCCAGUCAAAUAAGAAUAUGUCUAGUAUCCAAAACUCCUAUAGUACACUCGCCUUUGAUACCACACUAACCCGGAAUUGUUCUUCGUAGCUCCUUAAGAUCCGGUUUACCAUAUGAAAAUUUCCUAAUUAUAGCAUAUUGCAAAUUUUCUUGAAUGAUUAAACUUCUGACCUCUGAUGACAUCCAUGUUAUACUAGGAUCACCACGCAUCAUGACAACAGGUUUAGGUGGAACCCUAGAAUCGUGGCGUUUGGGCCAGUUUGCGCGCACCUCAACUAAAUCGGUAUCAGGUAACUCUGUCCACCAAGGCUAGAACUGAUACGAGUCAAAGAGGUAUCUUAGUAUUCGAGGACGUAAUGGAAGCCAAGACGUUAAGACCCGAGCUUGUGGGGCGCCCAUCCAACGGAACAAGUCUUGAAGUGUGAAGGAAGCCUCCUACACUCCAAAACCGUCCAAGAAGCACACUCCAAGGCCGCCCCUUUGUAAGGGCUCAUUAAGGGCCUUUUGGUCUUUUUGUAAUAAGUGAUUAUAAAUAGAACCUUAUUAAGUCAUUUCUAUCGGACUUAGAUGACAUAUUUUGAGGGCUCAAGAGAGUGUCUUUCAAGGUAGAUUCCUUAUGGCAAGUGUGGACAUCACUUGUGUCGAUAACAAUCUUGGAAACGGUGGUUGCUUGGAAAGUCCAAUUCCGUUGAGGUCCGUAAGAACUUGGUGUUAUUUGUGUGAAGACUUUGGAUCUUAAUGUUUAAUAUACAUUUUGGUUCAUAAGUGUUUAUGCAUUAUAUGUCAAGUUAUCUAUCUUACUUUCUUGUACCCGUUUUGUUCUUGUGUUGUUAAAUUUGUGGAAUUGUUGUUAUUCUCUUGUUGUGUUCUUCGUCUUAUGUAUUAAUCUAGUUUGGGUUGGUUGUUUGGUGUGUUAAACACCAUUGUUCAUCUUAUUUUUUUAGUUUCUUGUUGAAUCCGAGAGUGGUCAUCAAAGAGAUCCUCGGUUCUUUGAACUUGUGAACUGUUUUGGUGUUUGUUCCGUGUGUUCCUUACCUUUCUUGUAUCAUUUGGUAUCAGAGCUAUCUUUGAUUUUUUCCUAACAAGAUCAAUCUUGGGCUUGAGAGUGAAAAAAAAUAGAUCUGGUGUUCUUGUUGUAUUUGGAUGAAUUGUUUUCUAGAUCUAGGUGUAUUUGGUUGUCUUAGUUUGUUUUUUGUGUUGAUUUUCAUUCUCCUCAGCACAUAUUGAGUCUAAUGUAUAAUUUCUUGAGCUAAGUUCAAGUGUGUGGUGGUGUUAAGUAGGUGGUUUUGUUGUGGUGGUGGUGGUGUUCAUCUUGUGUUUUUGAAGUUGUGUUGAAAAGGUUGUUGUUGAUCUUGAAAAUCAUAUAAAGAAGAGAAGACUUUUUGUUUGUCUUGAAAUCAUUUUCAAGACAACACCAAAAUAGUAAGAAGACCAAAGAGUUCCAAAAAGUAUAACUACCAAAAGAAGAAAAAACACUUUUCAAGGAUUGUCCAAAAAAGGAAAAGGGGACAAGACAUCCAAAAAGGUUGUCUUGCCAAUUUGGUGCAAGUAGGUGAAAGACUAUAAAUCUUGAAAGAGAAUUCUAGACCUUGUUUGCCCCAUACCUUGGCAGAAAUUAUCCUCUUCCACAUAUGAAAUUGAACAACUAGUUUCUUGAAACAAAAAAUUUUCUACAUUACAACGUCCAAUAGUUAAGUGCCACAUCAUCAAAGAGCUCAAGAACAUUGGAUUUCCUAGUUUCACUUUCUUAUUUUUGUUGGUUUCCAAUUUUGCUAACUCUUAUACUAAUUGACAACUAGUAAAUACCUACUAAGUUGUAGAUUAGUUGUUGAGUACGCUCUUAGUGUUAGCAUUGUUCUUUUUUGUGUUUUUCUCAUUUUUGAAUCGUAGUAUAUUUUUGGUUCAAGUUCGUACAUUACUUUGUGUGUCAUUUCAAAUAAGAAUCCACUCUGAACUCGAGCCACAAUUGGAACCACGUGACCUUAUUGGGGUACAAGCGGGUUAUCAACACUUGUGAGGCCAAUAGAGUGAAAACAUCAAAAGUGUGUGCUUGAGAGUUUGCGGACUGUUUUGAGACGUUUUGUGAGGAUGCUUUCUUUUAUAACCUUAACUAGUUUGCUGUUUUUUAUGUUUUUAUUUUAGAAUUUAUCUUGUUAGGUACUAUGGCAUUGGAAAAGGUGACCAUGAAUGAUUUGAUGGCUGCCAUAACGGAUAUGAAACACGACUCUAUAGUCGAAUGGAGAGAAUGAAAAGAAUAAUGGGCAGAAUGGAAAGGACUAAAAGCUCUCUUUUCAAGGAGUUGGAUAACUUGGUAGAGUAUCCAAGCCUUUCUAAUCAAGUUCCCAUGAGUGGACAUAUUCCACGUGAGCUACAAGGUAAUCAAACUAACUCUUGCACUCAAGUAAAUGAGGCUCGUAGCCAACUAAGUGUGAAUGAUAGUUUGUUUUUAAGUGAGCCGAAUGUUCCUUCAUCUUGGGGAGAUAAUGUAAAACUUAAAAUUGUGGAUAGACUAGUUGAUCCACCUAGUGUUGAAGACAUGGUGCCUAGUGAUAGUAUAUUGUCUUAUGGAAGUCAUGAAGACCAACUUGUGUAUGAAAAUGGGGAUGUUGAACAUGUUGGCCGAUUGACUAAGGAUGAACCUCUAGUUGCUUUUGUUGUAGAUCAAGCUAGUAUAGAGGGGACAUUUGAUCGUAAUUGUAGUAUUAUUGGGGUAAGAAAGUGUUUUUUCAACCCGUGGCCAUGGACAUUCCACUCAUUUGACCCCGGUGAUCAUUUAAAAUACGGUGAUGAUGUCUUUUGGAAUGACUUGAAUGUGCAUGAAAUGUAUGGCUUUCCUAUCUCGGCUUUCAAGUCUAUUUGUUGUUUCAAGAAGAGUCUAUGUUUUCUAUUUAUAAGCAACUUUUGUUCCUUGUUUCUUGUCAUACUUAUGUGGAUAGACUAGUUGAUUCUUUCUUGGGAGGGUAUUCGGGUAAGAGGGAUGCUUGGUUAUAUGUGAAGUUUGAGCGACCUUGGCAAGAUUCUAUGAUUUAUUACACUAACUCUAACCCUCAUACCUUGAGGAACUUGUGUUUGCUUGUCCUUCCUAUUAUUUUGCAAGGUUCAGAUUUGAGGAUGAAUCCUUUUUCAGGAAGGGGAGGAUGAUACGGGUCAAAGAGGUAUCUUAGCAUUCGAGGACGUAAUGGAAGCCAAGACGUGAAGACCUGAGAUUGUGGGGCGCCCAUCAAAGGGAACAAGUCUUGAAGUGUGAAGGAAUCCUCCUACACUCCAAAACCGUCCAAGAAGCACACUCCAAGGCCACCCCUUUGUAAGGGCCCAUUAAGGGCAUUUUGAUCUUUUUGUAAUAAGUUAAUCUAGAUUAUAAAUAAAAUCUUAUUAGGUCAUUUCUAUCGAACUUAGAUGACAUACUUUGAGAGCUCGAGAGAGUGUCUUGCAAGGUUGAUUCCUUGUGGCAAGUGUGGACAUCACUUGGGCCGAUAACAAUCUUGGAAACGUUGGUUGCUUGGGAAGUCCAAUUCUAUUGAGGUCUUGUAAGAACUUGGUGUUAUUUGUGUGAAUACUUUGGGUCUUAAUGUUUAAUAUAUAUUUUGGUUCAUAAGUGUUUA